UAGGGAAUCUUCCGCAAUGGGCGAAAGCCUGACGGAGCAACGCCGCGUGAGGGAUGAAGGUCUUCGGAUCGUAAAACUCUGUUAUUAGGGAAGAACAAAUGUGUAAGUAACUAUGCACGUCUUGACGGUACCUAAUCAGAAAGCCACGGCUAACUACGUGCCAGCAGCCGAGGUAAUACGUAGGUGGCAAGCGUUAUCCGGAAUUAUUGGGCGUAAAGCGCGCGUAGGCGGUUUUUUAAGUCUGAUGUGAAAGCCCACGGCUCAACCGUGGAGGGUCAUUGGACACUGGAUAACUUGAGUGUAGAAGAGGAAAUUCGAAUUCCAUGUGUAGCGGUGAAAUGCGCAGAGAUUUGGAGGCACUCCCGUGUCCAAGGCGCCUUUCUGGUCUGUAACUGACGCUGAUGUGCGAAAGCGUGUGGAUCAAACAUG
Molecule: ribosomal RNA, 429 nt
Filed under: Actinomycetes bacterium
Lineage: Bacteria; Bacillati; Actinomycetota; Actinomycetes
Description: Actinobacteria bacterium partial 16S ribosomal RNA
Rfam family: Bacterial small subunit ribosomal RNA
Source: RNAcentral